This 918-nucleotide ribosomal RNA is filed under the name uncultured bacterium. RNAcentral's name for it is "bacterial SSU rRNA". It matches the Rfam family "Bacterial small subunit ribosomal RNA", at positions 32 to 916 of the family's 1533-position model. The record is from RNAcentral.
AGUGAUGGCGCAGGCCUAACACAUGCAGUCGAGCGGAAACGAGUUAUCUGAACCUUCGGGGAACGAUAACGGCGUCGAGCGGCGGACGGGUGAGUAAUGCCUAGGAAAUUGCCCUGAUGUGGGGGAUAACCAUUGGAAACGAUGGCUAAUACCGCAUAAUGCCUACGGGCCAAAGAGGGGGACCUUCGGGCCUCUCGCGUCAGGAUAUGCCUAGGUGGGAUUAGCUAGUUGGUGAGGUAAUGGCUCACCAAGGCGACGAUCCCUAGCUGGUCUGAGAGGAUGAUCAGCUACACUGGAACUGAGACACGGUCCAGACUCCUACGGGAGGCAGCAGUGGGGAAUAUUGCACAAUGGGCGCAAGCCUGAUGCAGCCAUGCCGCGUGUGUGAAGAAGGCCUUCGGGUUGUAAAGCACUUUCAGUCGUGAGGAAGGUAGUGUAGUUAAUAGCUUCAUUACUUGACGUUAGCGACAGAAGAAGCACCGGCUAACUCCGUGCCAGCAGCCGCGGUAAUACGGAGGGUGCGAGCGUUAAUCGGAAUUACUGGGCGUAAAGCGCAUGCAGGUGGUUUGUUUAGUCAGAUGUGAAAGCCCCGGGGCUCAACCUCGGAAUAGCAUUUGAAACUGGCAGACUAGAGUACUGUAGAGGGGGGUAGAAUUUCAGGUGUAGCGGUGAAAUGCGUAUAGAUCUGAAGGAAUACCGGUGGCGAAGGCGGCCCCCUGGACAGAUACUGACACUCAGAUGCGAAAGCGUGGAGGAGCAAACAGGAUUACAUACCCUGUAGGUCCACGCCUGUAAACGAUGUCGUACUUGGAGGUUGUGCCCUUGAGCCAGUGGCCUUUCGGAGCUAACCGCGUUCAAGUAGACCAGCCUGGCGGAGUCACGGGUCGCUAUGCAUUAGAACUCAAAUCGAGUUGACGG